This 254-nucleotide ribosomal RNA is filed under the name uncultured bacterium. RNAcentral's name for it is "partial 16S ribosomal RNA". It matches the Rfam family "Bacterial small subunit ribosomal RNA", at positions 524 to 776 of the family's 1533-position model. The record is from RNAcentral.
UACGUAGGUGGCAAGCGUUAUCCGGAAUUAUUGGGCGUAAAGCGCGCGCAGGCGGUUUCUUAAGUCUGAUGUGAAAGCCCACGGCUCAACCGUGGAGGGUCAUUGGAAACUGGGGAACUUGAGUGCAGAAGAGAAAAGCGGAAUUCCACGUGUAGCGGUGAAAUGCGUAGAGAUGUGGAGGAACACCAGUGGCGAAGGCGGCUUUUUUGGUCUGUAACUGACGCUGAGGCGCGAAAGCGUGGGGAGCAAACAGG